Molecule: ribosomal RNA, 253 nt
Filed under: uncultured bacterium
Lineage: Bacteria
Description: partial 16S ribosomal RNA
Rfam family: Bacterial small subunit ribosomal RNA
Source: RNAcentral
CACGGGGGGAGCAAGCGUUGUUCGGAAUCACUGGGCGUAAAGGGCGUGUAGGCGGUCGAGUAAGUGGAAUGUGAAAUGCUCCGGCUCACCCGGAGUACUGCAUCCCAAACUGCUCGGCUUGAGUAUGGGAGAGGAUGAGGGAAUUCCUGGUGUAGCGGUGAAAUGCGUAGAUAUCAGGAGGAACACCGGUGGCGAAGGCGCUCAUCUGGCCCAAUACUGACGCUGAGGCGCGAAAGCUAGGGGAGCAAACAGG